UUCCCUUGGUGGCGAUGCCUGGCCCACGCGGCAGCCCUGCCCCGGGAGCUGCCGGACAGCUUAGCAGCCCGAUUACAACAAAGUCAACAUCGCUUCGCCUCCAGUGCAGCUGGCUGCGCUUAGUACGUCGUAAGAGUUCGGGCCCUAGACAGGAUGCCUUCCCGUAACAAUACCUCACUUUGUGGAAGAGCCGUGUGCGCCAGGAAAUCCACACUGUUUUCCAUAGUGGCUGCACCAGUUUACAUUCCCCAAAGCAGUGCAUGAGGGGUGACAUCUCAUUAGCCUUUUGAAGAAGAUGAAGUUGCACACAAGAAUGGAUAAAAAUUAGAAACAAGUGGGGCACUCUGGUGGCUCAGUCGGUUAAGCA
Molecule: long non-coding RNA, 367 nt
Organism: Suricata suricatta (meerkat)
Lineage: Eukaryota; Metazoa; Chordata; Mammalia; Carnivora; Herpestidae
Exons: 3
Source: RefSeq, a predicted model, not a curated record